RNAcentral lists this ribosomal RNA (253 nucleotides) under uncultured bacterium. RNAcentral describes it as "partial 16S ribosomal RNA". It matches the Rfam family "Bacterial small subunit ribosomal RNA", at positions 524 to 776 of the family's 1533-position model. The record is from RNAcentral.
UACGUAGGGUGCAAUCGUUAAUCGGAAUUACUGGUCGUAAAGCGUGCGCAGGCGGUUUUGUAAGUCUGACGUGAAAGCCCCGGGCUCAACCUGGGAAUUGCGUUGGAGACUGCAAGGCUAGAAUCUGGCAGAGGGGGGUAGAAUUCCACGUGUAGCAGUGAAAUGCGUAGAGAUGUGGAGGAACACCGAUGGCGAAGGCAGCCCCCUGGGUCAAGAUUGACGCUCAUGCACGAAAGCGUGGGGAGCAAAAAGG